AUAUCAAUAAGCGGAGGAAAAGAAACCAACAGGGAUUGCCCUAGUAACGGCGAGUGAAGCGGCAACAGCUCAAAUUUGAAAUCUGGCUCCUUUGGGGUCCGAGUUGUAAUUUGCAGAGGGUGCUUUGGCAUCGGCGGCGGUCUAAGUUCCUUGGAACAGGACAUCGCAGAGGGUGAGAAUCCCGUACGUGGGCGCCUGCCUUUGCCGUGUAAAGCCCCUUCGACGAGUCGAGUUGUUUGGGAAUGCAGCUCUAAAUGGGAGGUAAAUUUCUUCUAAAGCUAAAUACUGGCCAGAGACCGAUAGCGCACAAGUAGAGUGAUCGAAAGAUGAAAAGCACUUUGGAAAGAGAGUCAAACAGCAC
RNAcentral lists this ribosomal RNA (361 nucleotides) under uncultured fungus. RNAcentral describes it as "eukaryotic LSU rRNA". It matches the Rfam family "Eukaryotic large subunit ribosomal RNA", at positions 40 to 398 of the family's 3401-position model. Lineage: Eukaryota; Fungi. The record is from RNAcentral.